GGAAGACGAAAAAGAAAUAUACUUUAUCGAUGGCAGACGGGUAAAUAACUCAGAAGCUCGCCAGAAGUUCGUUUUUCCCUCCUUUCCAGCUUUCCAUUGUAACAUGCUUUUCAGAGCUUUUGGUCCACGAAAAGCUAGGCUCAAAAGCUUAUCGUUUGUUUGGACUUUCAGCUUUCCAGCUUUCCAUUGUAACAUGCUUUUCAGAGCUUUUGGUCCACGAAAAGUUAGGCUCGAAAGCUUAUCAUUUAUUUGGUCUUUCAGCUUCUAGGAGUGAGAAGCUGGCUGAAAGCCCAAACAAACAGGGUUUAUCCCGUUUGACCGUGCCUCAAACUCGCAUUGGCGCCUUUUCCAGCCACAUCGCCGUCUCCUAGCGAGCACGGCGGUAGGAGUGCCUCGCCUCGUCGAAGAAGCUCGUGGGAUCGAUGGAGUUUGCUCGCCGGAGGAGUGGGCCCCGCCGGAGGACCUCGCGCAGCUGGCGGAGCUCUAGCUUGCCUACAACUCCGCCAUGGCCUCCUGUUCAUUGAAUCCGCCUUCCCCGGUUGUCCUCGCCGCAGCGCCGCCCAAGCCUCUUUGGCGCAACCUCAUCGUCCUCUUCGCCGGAUUAGCUCGGCCCGGCAGAUUGAGUGCCUUGUUGAGGUCGACACGAAGUGCGCCGGCACUCCGACGAGCUCUGCGCCACCGACGUUCUUUUGCUCGGUGUGGUGAUUUCCCCUGUUCUAGCUUGUUUUUCCUUGACGUUCAUUCUGCUGGGCUGCAACGUUUCACCAUGUGCAUAUUGAUUUUCUUCCCGUCGAUGAGUUCUGCGUGAAAUUGGAUUGAGAUUUUACCAUACGUUAAAUAGAUUUGACCUUGUUCCACUCGAUGCCGUCUUCCUUUUUAUUCUAUUUGAGUUCUAAUUAAGCUUUGAUUUGGUGGGUGCGCCAUGCAUGGAUAGAGGAG
This 939-nucleotide long non-coding RNA is filed under the name Setaria italica (foxtail millet). RNAcentral describes it as "long non-coding RNA (SITA_LNC002771)". Lineage: Eukaryota; Viridiplantae; Streptophyta; Magnoliopsida; Poales; Poaceae. The record is from RNAcentral.